This 480-nucleotide ribosomal RNA is filed under the name uncultured bacterium. Its description in RNAcentral is "partial 16S ribosomal RNA". It matches the Rfam family "Bacterial small subunit ribosomal RNA", at positions 28 to 507 of the family's 1533-position model. The record is from RNAcentral.
GACGAACGCUGGCGGCGUGCUUAACACAUGCAAGUCGAACGAUGAAGAAAAGACUCGAAGCUUCGGCAGAAAUUCAUUUCGGAUUAGUGGCAGACGGGUGAGUAACGCGUGAGCAACCUACCUCUUACAAAGGGAUAGCCUCGGGAAACCGGGAUUAAUACCAUAUAACAUUGUGACGAAGCAUUUCGAUGCAAUCAAAGCUACGGCGGUAAGAGAUGGGCUCGCGUCCCAUUAACCGGAUGGUGAGGUAACGGCUCACCAUAGUGACGAUGGGUAACCGGGCUGAGAGGGUGAACGGUCACACUGGAACUGAGACACGGUCCAGACUCCUACGGGAGGCAGCAGUGGGGAAUAUUGCACAAUGGAGGGAACUCUGAUGCAGCGACGCCGCGUGAGUGAUGAAGGAAUUCGUUUCGUAAAACUCUGUUCUAUGGGAAGAAAAGGACUGUACCAUAGGAGAAAGCUCCGGCUAAAUACGUG